GCUGGAGAACUGAGGGGGGCUGCUCCUAGUACGAGAGGACCGGAGUGGACGCAUCACUGGUGUUCGGGUUGUCAUGCCAAUGGCACUGCCCGGUAGCUAAAUGCGGAAGAGAUAAGUGCUGAAAGCAUCUAAGCACGAAACUUGCCCCGAGAUGAGUUCUCCCUGAGACUUAGAGUCUCCUGAAGGAACGUUGAAGACGACGACGUUGAUAGGCCGGGUGUGUAAGCGCAGCGAUGCGUUGAGCUAACCGGUACUAAUGAACCGUGAGGCUUAACCUUACAACGCCGAAG
This 290-nucleotide ribosomal RNA is filed under the name Acinetobacter baumannii. RNAcentral's name for it is "partial 23S ribosomal RNA". It matches the Rfam family "Bacterial large subunit ribosomal RNA", at positions 2652 to 2925 of the family's 2925-position model. RNAcentral also lists the same sequence under 5 other names. The record is from RNAcentral. Lineage: Bacteria; Pseudomonadati; Pseudomonadota; Gammaproteobacteria; Moraxellales; Moraxellaceae.